GAUCCAGCCCAAACCAGGGAUCAGGUUAAUGAUCUAGCACUGCAGAUGACUGAGUUUAUUACUUCAGAUUUAGCGUCAGAGACACCACCUGUGGCACUAACCACAAGGAAGUAAUGAGCAAGAAUUAACCAAAGGAGAACAAUGGUGCUUUCAAGAACUUACUGCAAAAGCACGUUAACUGGACUGUAUCUAUGUAAGUACCAGAGGCAGAAAACAGACUGAUACUCCAGAAGGCCAGCUCCUAAAGGAGCUCUUGUUCAGCAGAACCCUUCUUGGAAGGGCAAACUCAGGACUGUAAACAUAGAAACAAUUUUCUUUUGAUUGUUCCUACUGCAAGGCAAUGGGUUUGUUGAAUGCUGCAAAGGGGAAGGCAGAGGAGGAAGACAAGGGCAUCCCUAUUUACAGACAGAGAAGAUUGCACCAGAAGUGCUUGACUUACAUAAGCAAUUUGCCCUCCUGUUUGUGUAAGCAAUCCAGCUAGACCACAAAUACCAUUUCAAGUGUUCAGGUGAAAAGAAGUUGCAAGUCAUUUUCUGAGAAAAUGCUUCGAAACGCAGAGCCCAAGGCUGUGACAUCAACCUCAGACCUCUGCAUACCAAGCCUGGAUGCUGAUAAAGACAUCAGCUCAAAUUCUAAUCUCCUGGACUGCAGGAUAAACCCAAAACAACUUGUCCUGUAUCAAGUUGGUCUGGGGUGGGAGCCAAAUGGAGCUGGGCUGCACAGAAGUGGCAUGAGCAGGAGCAGGCUCAGAUGCUCAAGGCAGAUGUCGCUAGGCAACAACAGUAACCAUGGUUACCUGCAUCCCAAGCGACUGGUGGAUUUCUGAGAUUAGUCAUUCCUCUGGAAAAAAAAACUUUAAAAAAAAAAAAAGAAUAAAGGAGGAUGUAUCACAAUA
This is a long non-coding RNA of Columba livia (rock pigeon), 895 nucleotides long. RefSeq lists it as uncharacterized. Lineage: Eukaryota; Metazoa; Chordata; Aves; Columbiformes; Columbidae. The record is from RefSeq and is a predicted model, not a curated record. The transcript is spliced from 2 exons.